This 240-nucleotide unclassified non-coding RNA is filed under the name Hevea brasiliensis (rubber tree). The record is from RNAcentral. Lineage: Eukaryota; Viridiplantae; Streptophyta; Magnoliopsida; Malpighiales; Euphorbiaceae.
AAAAAAGAAAAAAAAAAAGAAAAUGAUAGAGGAAAUGGGGCCUUCCUUCCAAAUAUAAAAAUAAGCUCUCUCUCUUUUUUAUUUUUCUUUCCUCUCUCUCCCUCUCUAUGUUUUCUUUGCCGUUUCCUUCCAUUCCUAUUUGAGAGCGAGAUAUUUUUGUGGACUCAUGUGCGUAUUGAGAGAGCCGGAGAGAUUGUGCUUCUAAAAUUUAGGGUUCUGUGUUGUAGUUUCUAGGGAACA